This 2451-nucleotide long non-coding RNA is filed under the name Cricetulus griseus (Chinese hamster). RNAcentral's name for it is "lncRNA (ENSCGRG00015038320.1)". Lineage: Eukaryota; Metazoa; Chordata; Mammalia; Rodentia; Cricetidae. The record is from RNAcentral.
CCCAGGAAUCUGUAUUCUUGAUGAAAACCUUCAGAAAAUUCCUUUGCAGCUAGUCGGGGGAUCCCCACACAGAACCGUUAUUUUCAAAAGCCAACCAUUCAUCAAGAGGACAUCUGGAAUAAUUUUAAGUGGCAUGUCUAACAGGCAUACAGCUGGAAGAUUUUAGAACAGAACUUACUCUGUAGACAUAUGCAGCAAAUAAGAAACACGUGACUAUAUGAAUAAACAGUGAGCCCUGACAUGACAUGAUGAGACUAGGAUUCUCCGAAGAUGUUGCUGAGUUUGUUUUCUCUUGGCCAUCUACUGCUGGCUGUGUAGCCUACCCUUAAGAGUAGCUUGAUUGCCCCAGUGAGACUCCUUUGGAGGAAAGGAAAUUCUCCUUUGCAAGUGGAUAUCAAUGAGAGAUAGCUUCCGGUUCAGGGGCAGGGGCGAGUGUCCACUCCCUUCAGCUCUGGUGCACACCUGUGCAUGUCCUGUGCUUGCCACCUCAGUCUUGGGUUCCCUGAGCCCCAAGGGGAAGUGUUUGAUGGAGAUACACCACUAUGGCUGAGUGUUCUGAGAUCUCUCAUUCUCUGAAUAUUGUCUGGCUCUGUAAUGAAAACCUUAAGGCACCAAAGAAAGAAAUUAAAGAAGAAACUAGAUGAAAAACACUGUACAUUCUGAAGAUUUCUUCACAUAUUUACCGACUAUUGAUUACUUUUCUUUUGAGAACUGUCUGUUCCUCUGUCCAUUUAUGGAUUGGGUGUAGACAUUUUUCUUGUUUAAUAUUUACUUUUUUUAGUUCUUCAUAGAUUCUAGUUGCAAAUUCCCUGUCAAAUGGCAAAGAUUUUCCUCCUUUUCAGGGGCUAACUCUUCACUCCAUUGAUAAUUUCAUGUAAUUCUCUUUGCUAGUCCCUGGUAUCAUUUGGAGUCUUGUUUCAAAGGAAAGACUGUCCAUGUUUAUCCAAAGCAAUACUAACUUGAAAUAGCAAUGUUGAGACCACACCAAUACCUGACCUCAAACUAUACUACAGGGCCAUAGUGACACAAUACCAUAGUAAUGACACAAAAACAGACACAUAGGCCAAGGUAAUAGAACAAAGGACGGGGGGGGGGGGGCGCGUGAAGCCUAUGUUGCUACAACUAAACAUGCCAAAAAUACAUUUUAAAAAAUAGGGCUGGGGAUAGUAGAUCUCUACAUGCAGAAUGAAUCUAGGUCCAUGCCUCCAACAUUGCAAAAAAAUCAAUUCAAAAGGAACCAAAGUCCUGAAACUCCAAAAUAGUCAAGGAAAGCAGUCAGAGCCGCUCACAAUGCCGCACAGGUGAGGACUCUCUGAAAAGAGUCCUCAUGGCACAGGAGAUCAUUCUAAGAGUCCACAAGUGAGACUGCAUACUAUUGAAAAUCUUUUUGUAGUAAAUAAGCUACCAUCAGAGUGUGAUAAGACAGCCCACAAAAAGGAGAAAAUCUUUGCCAAUUAUACCUUUGACAGAGGAUUAGUAUCUAGAAUCUGCAAAGAACUCAAAAAACUAAAUACCAAAACAAUAAAAAAAUAAUAAAUACACAUCUAUUGAAGAAACAAUUCUCCAAGAAUAAACAUGGGGGUUGGGGUGUAUUUCCAUUAGUAGAGUAUGUGUCUAGCAUGCACAAGGCCCUGGUUCCAUUCCCAGCACCACAAGAAGAAGAAGGAGAACAAGAACAACAAAUGAUUAACAAAUAUAAGAAGAAAUGCCCAGAAUCCUGAGCUACCAAGGAAAUGCAAAUUCAAACAACUUUGAGAGCCCAUCUCACCUAAGUCAGAAUGACUAUCAUGCAGAUGAAGAUGUGACAAGAGAGGAAACUGUACACUGCUGAUAGGAAUAUAAACUGAAACAGCCAUUGUGAAAAUCAAUGCAGAUGAUUUUAAGUUACAAAAAAAAAAAAAAAAAGAAACAAAACUAGUCUGACCCAGAUGUCCCAGCUGAUUAUAUACCCAAAGGCAUAUAAAUCAGAAAGCCACAGAGAAACUUACUCAUGCACGUCUAAUUCUGCUCUCUUCACAAUAGCUAAGACAUAGAGGCAACAUAUAUGCCCAUCAGUGAAUGACUACUGUGGUAGUUUGAAUGUAAUUGGUCUCCAUAAGUUCAUAGGGAGUGGCACUACUGGGACAUGUGGCCUUGGUGAAGAAAGUGUGUCACUGUGAGGGCAGGCUUGUGUGUGGAUGGAAUAGAAUGGUAACUAUUUGUCUAAAGGGACUGUGAAACAAAUAAAGGGAAUGGGAAGUGAAAGAAAAAUGUCACUGCUUCUCUUAUACACGGAAUCUAACAUAUAUUUACAUAUAAAUGUCAAACAGAGCUGAGUGUGCAUGAUCUUUCUUACCAAACCUUUAGGUUACAUGAACUUUUGCUCCUAUGAAACCAUUCAAUCUGGGUCUGGCAAUGAAAGCUUCAUCUGUCCCACACAAAAACCGUAGCCAUCACAAUAACAGCUAGCAG